CGGACGGGUGAGCAAUGUCUGGGAAACUGCCCGAUGGAGGGGGAUAACUACUGGAAACGGUAGCUAAUACCGCAUAACGUCGCAAGACCAAAGAGGGGGACCUUCGGGCCUCUUGCCAUCGGAUGUGCCCAGAUGGGAUUAGCUAGUAGGUGAGGUAACGGCUUACCUAGGCGACGAUCCCUAGCUGGUCUGAGAGGAUGAUCAGCCACACUGGGACUGAGACACGGCCCAG
Molecule: ribosomal RNA, 232 nt
Filed under: uncultured bacterium
Lineage: Bacteria
Description: partial 16S ribosomal RNA
Rfam family: Bacterial small subunit ribosomal RNA
Source: RNAcentral